ACCUGGGUGGCUCAGUUGGUUAAGCGUCUGACUUUGGCUCAGGUCAUGAUCUCACAGUUUGUGAGUUCGAGCCCCACGCCAGGCU
Molecule: transfer RNA, 85 nt
Filed under: Felis catus (domestic cat)
Lineage: Eukaryota; Metazoa; Chordata; Mammalia; Carnivora; Felidae
Rfam family: tRNA
About the family: Transfer RNA (tRNA) molecules are approximately 80 nucleotides in length. Their secondary structure includes four short double-helical elements and three loops (D, anti-codon, and T loops).
Source: Rfam by way of RNAcentral